Molecule: unclassified non-coding RNA, 377 nt
Filed under: uncultured Oligoflexaceae bacterium
Lineage: Bacteria; Pseudomonadati; Bdellovibrionota; Oligoflexia; Oligoflexales; Oligoflexaceae
Description: contains 16S-23S intergenic spacer region
Source: RNAcentral
UCCGGUUUAACACCGGCAGUCUCCUCAGAGUGCCCAACUUAAUGGUGGCAACUAAGGACAAGGGUUGCGCUCGUUGCGGGACUUAACCCAACAUCUUACGACACGAGCUGACGACAGCCAUGCAGCACCUAUCUCUCUGUCCCCGAAGGGAAAGUCACAUCUCUGUGAUUGUCAGAGGAUGUUAAGCCCAGGUAAGGUUCUGCGCGUUGCUUCGAAUUAAACCACAUACUCCACCGCUUGUGCGGGCCCCCGUCAAUUCCUUUGAGUUUUAGUCUUGCGACCGUACUCCCCAGGCGGGAUACUUAAUGCGUGAGCUACGGUACCCAGGAGAUUAAAAUCCCGGACACCUAGUAUCCAUAGUUUACAGCGUGGACUAC